Molecule: ribosomal RNA, 805 nt
Filed under: uncultured bacterium
Lineage: Bacteria
Description: bacterial SSU rRNA
Rfam family: Bacterial small subunit ribosomal RNA
Source: RNAcentral
AGAGUUUGAUCCUGGCUCAGGAUGAACGCCCCUUGCGUGCUUAACACAUGCAAGUCGAGCGAAGCGCUCACGCGGAAUUUUUCGGAAGGAAGCGGGAGUGACUUAGCGGCGGACGGGUGAGUAACGCGUGGGUAACCUGCCCCAUACCGGGGGAUAACGGUUAGAAAUGACCGCUAAUACCGCUUAAGCGCGCGAGGCCGCAUGGCCGCGCGCGAAAAACUCCGGUGGUAUGGGAUGGGCCCGCGUCUGAUUAGGUAGUUGGCGGGGUAAGGGCCCACCAAGCCGACGAUCAGUAGCCGACCUGAGAGGGUGGCCGGCCACAUUGGGACUGAGACACGGCCCAAACUCCUACGGGAGGCAGCAGUGGGGGAUAUUGCACAAUGGGGGAAACCCUGAUGCAGCGACGCCGCGUGAGUGAAGAAGUAUUUCGGUACGUAAAGCUCUAUCAGCGGGGAAGAAAGAGGACGGUACCCGACUAAGAAGCCCCGGCUAACUACGUGCCAGCAGCCGCGGUAAUACGUAGGGGGCGAGCGUUAUCCGGAUUUACUGGGUGUAAAGGGAGCGUAGACGGCGUCGCAAGUCUGAAGUGAAAGCCCGUGGCUCAACCGCGGAACCGCUUUGGAAACUGCGAGGCUGGAGUGCUGGAGAGGUAAGCGGAAUUCCUGGUGUAGCGGUGAAAUGCGUAGAUAUCAGGAGGAACACCGGUGGCGAAGGCGGCUUACUGGACAGUGACUGACGUUGAGGCUCGAAAGCGUGGGGAGCGAACAGGAUUAGAUACCCUGGUAGUCCACGCGGUAAACGAUGA